UGGGGGAUAUUGCACAAAUGGGGGGGAACCCUGAUGCAGCGACGCCGCGUGGGUGAAGAAGCGCCUCGGCGCGUAAAGCCCUGUCAGCAGGGAAGAAAAUGACGGUACCUGAAGAAGAAGCCCCGGCUAACUACGUGCC
Molecule: ribosomal RNA, 139 nt
Filed under: uncultured bacterium
Lineage: Bacteria
Description: partial 16S ribosomal RNA
Rfam family: Bacterial small subunit ribosomal RNA
Source: RNAcentral